Pelobates cultripes (western spadefoot toad) is the source of this 279-nucleotide non-coding RNA. The record is from the annotation of a GenBank genome assembly. Lineage: Eukaryota; Metazoa; Chordata; Amphibia; Anura; Pelobatidae.
CCCCUCCCCCUUUAUAUACCAGCAUUAAGUCCCCCCUACUUGGGGUGUAUUCACUCUUUGUCUGUACGUAAGGUGUAAAUGUUAACAUGUAGCAUAAAUCUUAUUAAAAAUGUACUUUAAAGGGACACUCCAGGCACCCAGACCACUUCUGCCCAUUGGAGUAGUCUGGGUGCCAGCUCCCACUACCCUUAACCCUGCAACUGUAAAUAUUGCAGUUUUAAUAAACUGCUAUAUUUACCUUGCAGGGUUAACUCCACCUCUAAUGGUCUAUAGCACAGG